RNAcentral lists this ribosomal RNA (261 nucleotides) under uncultured prokaryote. RNAcentral's name for it is "partial 16S ribosomal RNA". It matches the Rfam family "Bacterial small subunit ribosomal RNA", at positions 524 to 784 of the family's 1533-position model. The record is from RNAcentral.
UACGUAGGGGGCGAGCGUUGUCCGGAAUGAUUGGGCGUAAAGGGCGCGCAGGCGGCCUGUCAAGUCAGUAGUGGAAGUCCAUUUUUCAAGGAUGGAAGUGCUAUAGAAACUGAUGGGCUUGAGUGCAGGAGAGGUUAUCGGAAUUCCCGGUGUAGCGGUGAAAUGCGUAGAGAUCGGGAGGAACACCAGUGGCGAAGGCGGGUAACUGGACUGCAACUGACGCUGAGGCGCGAAAGUGUGGGGAGCAAACAGGAUUAGAUA